GGGAGAGGCCACAACAGUGAGAGGCCUGCGUACCGCAAAAAAAAAAAAAAAUUGGUGUUUUCAAUAGGAAAAAGAUAGUUAUUUGUGGGUAAUUAUAUGCUUAAGUAGUAUAUUGUAUAAAAACUAUGUGCCCUUGCAUAAACAGUAUAGCAAAAACUAUUGUGCUAUACUCUUUAAAUUAGUAAAAUUACAUAGUCUUGUCUAAUCUGUGCACUCAGAGUUUACAAUUAUGUCUGUAAAAUUCUAGCUCAGUAGUUCUCAACUGGGGGUGACUUUGGCUCCCAAAAGAUACUUGGCAGUGUCUGGAGACAUUUUUGGUUGUCAAAACUGGGCAGUGGGGCAUGUUGCUACUGGCAUGUAAUAAGGAGAGACCAGGGAUGCCUACAUCCUGCAAUGCACAGGACAGCCCCCCACAAAAAAGAAUGAUCCAACCCAAAAUGUCAACAUUGCUGAGGUUGAGAAACCCUGUCCUAGCCUGACUGAGCACCUCUUCAGCUUUGUUUCAGUUUCAGAAUAUUAAAACCUCAGAUAUUUAUGUGGGAGUUACUUAAAUGGCCCAGAACUUCAACUAUGAAACAUUACUGUGUAGUAUAUUGAAUAUAGAAAGUAAUGAAGAUUAUAGGUAUUUUAUUCAUAUGUUUCCAUCUGUAAAUAACGUGAGUCAGAAAACAAUGUAGGGAACAUCAGAGAUUGUCUAAAGUGGGUCACUUUGAAAAGCAGUUCAUUCGUCUAGCUAUUGAUGCUUUAGAUACCACGCACACUUUUUAAGCUUUAGUUAGUUACCCUUUCUUCUUUGACUUCAUUGUCUUAGUUUAGACAAAAAUUUUCAUUUCAGACAUGUACUGAAAUCUUAAUGUAAGUGGUUGAAGCUAGUAAAAAUGUUACCAAUUUAAAAAUGGUCCCCGUAGUCAAUGAGCUUGAACUCGGUAAGUGGUAAUUUGAUUUUUAAAAUAGAUAAUAGCUAUUUGGAACUGGGAGUGGGGGUGGGGGGAGAAUGUCCUUGUAUCCAAUAGUAAUGAUGAUGGUGAUGAAAUAAUGAUAGUAGCUGUGUGUUUUGAAUUAGGGAAUCACUGCACACUACCUGACCUAAUCUGUAGAAAACUGAGAGUAGUAUCUAUUAUUAUUCCUGAAUCUGAGGCUUAGAAGUCAUACAGUGUGUAAAUGGCUAAUUUCAUAUAUCAUGAUGUAUUUUGUCUUUGCUCCUCCCUGUGCAACAAAGUAUGUAUCUUUAGUCCCUUUGGUAUUUAUUCUGAGACCAAGGGCUUGCUUAAUUUGGUGAUGUGCCUUCAGUCCCCAGAAGGUACUUCUUCCACAAUCCAGGUGAUUCUAAUGCACACUAAAGUUGAGAAUCACUGCACGAGAUCACUUUGUAUUUUCCCAUUUCCAGAGCUGAUAUGUAGCCUUAGUAUAUCUCUUCUAUUGACAGGUACUACCUUGAUUCUGCAUUUGGUCCUUGUUAAUUUAAGAAUGUCUUGAAACCAUAUGUGACAUUUGAGUAUGGGUAUAUAGGGAAAAAAUAUACUUCUUCUUAGUUACCUUGACUUUGAAAUAGUGUUAUUUUUCUAUAACUGAAAUAAAUGCUUCUACCAUAAAAAUAAAAUUUGCCUGUACUAAUUAUGUGAACGUUUAUCAUUUCAAGUGAUGCUCAGUGAUGAGGGUUGAGGUUGUGAAGCCUGGAAAAGAGCUUUAUCAUGGAUUUGUUUUAAUGGCGAUGGCAGGAGUUCAAGAGCGAAAGAAGUGAUUCUCAAAGUGUCUUGAGGUCAAGGCUCAGGACUGGCACUUCACUUCUGCUGCACGAUACUGGCCAAAAACAAAUCAUCGGGUCAGACCAGAGUUGACAGGUGGGGAAUCGAGUCCACCUCUUGAUAUGAGGAGCUGUAAAGUCUUUGCAAAAAAUGGGGAUACAGAGAGGGGGCUUCCCUGGUGGC
Molecule: long non-coding RNA, 1928 nt
Organism: Aethalodelphis obliquidens (Pacific white-sided dolphin)
Lineage: Eukaryota; Metazoa; Chordata; Mammalia; Artiodactyla; Delphinidae
Exons: 3
Source: RefSeq, a predicted model, not a curated record